GGAGAGGUGUCCGAGUGGUUGAAGGAGCACGCCUGGAAAGCGUGUGUGGGGGCAACUUCACCGUGAGUUCGAAUCUCAUCCUCUCCGCCA
Molecule: transfer RNA, 90 nt
Filed under: Deinococcus irradiatisoli
Lineage: Bacteria; Thermotogati; Deinococcota; Deinococci; Deinococcales; Deinococcaceae
Also listed under: 1 other name
Description: tRNA-Ser
Rfam family: tRNA
About the family: Transfer RNA (tRNA) molecules are approximately 80 nucleotides in length.
Source: RNAcentral